This 258-nucleotide ribosomal RNA is filed under the name uncultured bacterium. Its description in RNAcentral is "partial 16S ribosomal RNA". It matches the Rfam family "Bacterial small subunit ribosomal RNA", at positions 524 to 777 of the family's 1533-position model. The record is from RNAcentral.
UACGUAGGGGGCAAGCGUUGUCCGGAUUUAUUGGGCGUAAAGAGCGUGUAGGCGGCCAAGCAGGUCAGCUGUGAAAACUCGAGGCUCAACCUCGAGACGUCGGUUGAAACCGUUUGGCUAGAGUCCGGAAGAGGAGAGUGGAAUUCCCGGUGUAGCGGUGAAAUGACGCAGAGUAUCGGGAAGAACACCCGCGGCGAAGGCGGACUCGUCUGGGACGGUACUGACGCUGAGACGCGAAAGCGUGGGGAGCGAACAGGA